AGUGAACGCUGGCGGUAGGCCUAACACAUGCAAGUCGAACGGCAGCACAGUAAGAGCUUGCUCUUACGGGUGGCGAGUGGCGGACGGGUGAGGAAUACAUCGGAAUCUACUUUUUCGUGGGGGAUAACGUAGGGAAACUUACGCUAAUACCGCAUACGACCUACGGGUGAAAGCAGGGGAGCUUCGGACCUUGCGCGAUUGAAUGAGCCGAUGUCGGAUUAGCUAGUUGGCGGGGUAAAGGCCCACCAAGGCGACGAUCCGUAGCUGGUCUGAGAGGAUGAUCAGCCACACUGGAACUGAGACACGGUCCAGACUCCUACGGGAGGCAGCAGUGGGGAAUAUUGGACAAUGGGCGCAAGCCUGAUCCAGCCAUACCGCGUGGGUGAAGAAGGCCUUCGGGUUGUAAAGCCCUUUUGUUGGGAAAGAAAAGCAGCAUGUUAAUACCCCGCUGUUCUGACGGUACCCAAAGAAUAAGCACCGGCUAACUUCGUG
RNAcentral lists this ribosomal RNA (492 nucleotides) under uncultured bacterium. Its description in RNAcentral is "partial 16S ribosomal RNA". It matches the Rfam family "Bacterial small subunit ribosomal RNA", at positions 29 to 507 of the family's 1533-position model. The record is from RNAcentral.